CUCUGACUGGGGAGACCCUCCAUCCGGGUAUAACUCUGACUGGGGAGCCCCUCCAUCCGGGUAUAACUCUGACUGGGGAGCCCCUCCAUCCGGGUAUAACUCCGACUGAGGAGCCCCUCCAUCCGGGUAUAACUCCGACUGGGGAGACCCUCCAUCCGGGUAUAACUCUGACUGGGGAGACCCUCCAUCCGGGUAUAACUCUGACUGGGGAGACCCUCCAUCCGGGUAUAACUCUGACUGGGGAGCCCCUCCAUCCGGGUAUAACUCCGACUGAGGAGCCCCUCCAUCCGGGUAUAACUCCGCCUGAGGAGCCCCUCCAUCCGGGUAUAACUCUGACUGGGGAGACCCUCCAUCCGGGUAUAACUCUGACUGGGGAGACCCUCCAUCCGGGUAUAACUCCGCCUGAGGAGCCCCUCCAUCCGGGUAUAACUCUGACUGGGGAGCCCCUCCAUCCGGGUAUAACUCUGACUGGGGAGCCCCUCCAUCCGGGUAUAACUCCGCCUGAGGAGCCCCUCCAUCCGGGUAUAACUCUGACUGGGGAGCCCCUCCAUCCGGGUAUAACUCUGACUGGGGAGCCCCUCCAUCCGGGUAUAACUCCGACUGAGGAGCCCCUGCAUCCGGGUAUAACUCCGACUGAGGAGCCCCUCCAUCCGGGUAUAACUCUGACUGAGGAGCCCUCCAUCCAGGGGCAGCAAGAUGGAAGAAAAAAGACGACGUAAGACCCCAAAGCCCAUAGACCUUUGGAGGACAACAGGACUUACACACAGAUACAGGGGUUGAACUCCAGGCCUUGCACAUACUAGGCAAGCUCUCUACUACCGAGCUGCAGCCUAAGGCCAAGAAACUCGCCAUGUGGACACAAGAGCAAAGAGUCUUGCCAUGGGCAGCUCCAGGUUCCUCGCCUCUCCUGCCACUGGCCCCGCUGAUCUCCACAGGGCACUCACCAGGUUUUAUUUCCAGGAGUCGCAGCUUCGGGUCCUCUGGUGGGUGCAAUCGUCGCUUCUUGCGCCAGCAGCGGGCAGGGGUGGUAAAUACAUUAGAGAUUUGUAUCUCCACCCCACUGAUUCUCAGGAAAUCUAAGGUUGGGGUCGGAAGGUUUAAGAAUCGGCUUGUGUCAGAUGGAUAGAAGGAUAAGUGAGUCAAAUAAGUUAUCUUGGGUUCCCCGGACAUGGAGACAGUGCAGCUGUGACCUCCCUCUGAGAGAAAGCAUCCACAGAGAUGGCUCCACAUUUCUGAAGUGACUCACUUGAGGAAGAUGUUGUCUGUGGCUUUGUCAUUCCUGAAUAGACGCAUUUACUCUGUGCCCCGUCCAGACACUCAAACUGCUGGAGGUCCCCCCAGGAUCUUAGGAGCCACUCUUCCAUGUCACAGAACAAGUCCUGGAAAUCAGCACUCAUUUGAGGCUAGUGACUCUAAUCGGCUGAAAUGGCAAGGACCUGAAGAACUCAGAAGUUCCAGAGCACGACGUCCACACCAGCCCUCUAAUCUGAAGGGAGGUAGGCCUUCAUAAGAACUCAAUCACUGCUUUUAAGGAACUUUAUAGGUUGUUUUAAUGCCUACUAAGAACAUCUGGAGGCCUGAACAGCAUCUACUAGCUGCUUGCCUGUGGUCGCUGAUGUACCAAGACUGGUUUAAUAGCCUUUCCUGUAGGAUCCUAAAUCCCGUGUAUUCCCCCAAGGUAAUAUAAUUAAUUGCCUGCAUACUAGUAUCUCCCCUGCUGGCUUUGAAAGAGCUGGGAUGGCAGGAAUCAUGCCAUCUCUAGUGUCCCCUAUAUUUAGCACACCAUACUUGGCAGGCACAUCUAGGAAUCAUCAUAUAAACUCAACCAGAACUAAACAAGACUCAGAAAUUCAA
Molecule: long non-coding RNA, 1854 nt
Organism: Mesocricetus auratus (golden hamster)
Lineage: Eukaryota; Metazoa; Chordata; Mammalia; Rodentia; Cricetidae
Exons: 4
Source: RefSeq, a predicted model, not a curated record